UGAAAAUGAAAAAGAAGUCAUGUGAGAAGUAACCAUAACUCAUAAUUCAUAAAUGAACAUAGAAGUUCAGUAGACAGAAUAAUAUGCUGGUUUUUACAUCUGAAAUGGGCAGCAAAUUCUGGUGUGAGGGGAAGAGCAUGGAAGGUCAUCCCGACAUACACAUAUGAUUUCCAGGGCAAAGGAAAUGGGUUUCCUUCCUUGGUAGGCUGAUUGAAUGCCAGGUCUCCAAGUUGGAACCCAUCCAUCUCCUCCUCCUGGCCAGAGACCACAUGGGCUGAAUGUAGCCAUGCAGAGGAGGUAAGCCUGGAGAGGAAAGGUUCACAGAAAUGGACACCCAUCUCACUCUUUCCACAAUUACCUUACUUCCAAGGACACCUACUUAGAGUUAGAAAAACUUUUAAGGCUUCUCUGCCAGGUUAUAUUUCCUUUCAGAAAAGGCAGUCAGCACACAUCAAACUUUACAUAUUCGUUUCUAUGAGGGGAGAUUAUAAUUUUUUUGUGCUAUGAGCUAUCAGCUGUGAUGCCUAAAGACCUGAUAUCCAUAAUUUCUCCUCAUUUUACAGCUCCAAUCUCAUUUGCCUUCCUCCAGAAUAUAGGAUGAUGAUUAGGUUACCUUGCUCACAAAGGACUGAUCUGUCCAUUGGUCCACAUCUUGGCUUUAUUUUCUGACCAAAGAUCAUAUAGUAGGUCAACAAUCAAGCUGAUCUAGAGCACAAAUCUCAGUUAUCAAGUUCCAAAAGCAAUUUUCCAGAGGUAGUAGUUUAUUGAUACGUUAAAGUAAAUUAGCACACAUUCACUCCUCAUGUAUCUGUGUACAUACUUGGCUAUUUAUGAACUCUGACCUCCAAAUGAACAUCUGUACUUAUAUUUAUGCAAAAUACUGUACUGCUUCUGCCUUGAAAAGUGUCUAUAUCAAACAUUCUCAUGCCAAAAUCUACUAUCUGACCUUGCAGCACUAAAAAUAGUUCAGGUCAGAAGCAGAGAAAUAUUUGUUUCUCCUUUUAGAACAUUUGUGCUUACAUUCAUUAAGGACUCAGUCCAAAAUCCUUUGAUGUCAAGGAGACUGUUUCAGUGGCCUUUAGAUCAAGUCUUAAAAAGGGUCAAUUAAACUUUAAAUAAAAUAAAAAUUAUAAUGCGUCCAGCCUAAGAGAAUAAGAAUAAGAAAGGCUGCAUUUGGAGUAAAGCAUCGGUCAUCGUUCUCUAAUAUUUGGCCAAACUUGUGGAAUUUUUCAUUAUUAAAAGAAUAAUCCUAUUCAAUAAGGUUGUAAUUAAUUUUUAGUCUUCAAAACAUCCACAUUUUUCUGCAUAUAGAAAUGUUGUUGCUGAGCUAGUAAGUGCAAGGAUGCUUAGACCUCAGUAGGGCAUAUAUGCCUAAGCAGUAAGAUAUGGCCCAGAUUUUCAAAGCCAGAGCAGAGACCUAAUUCCAAAAUACUCUUCUGGCUCUAAAAUAUGUUCAAGUUUUCAUCUCACUUUGUAUUUGAGCAACUCAAUAUUUUCUAAUGUCCGAUCUAAUGUUAGGCUUUGUUUUUCACACUUUGCAAAAGGAAUAAUGCAGCUCUUGGCAAUAGCAGAUGCUGAAAUUAACUUGAAGGUAGAGGAUGUUCAGUGGAAUAUAGCAGGGGCUUUAAUUUAAAACAGUGAACUUUAUUGUUCAGUUGGUAAUCCUUUUCCAUACGAAAAUGCAUAGUGUUUAGAGCAUCCAUUAUAAUAAAAAUAACUCCCAGUAUUAAUACAAGCUACAGCCUCACAGAGCUUACUGCACUGCUUGCUUGUAAUCACGUAUCAGAGACUUGAGUAAUUGGAAUGACAUAUGUCUGCAGGAAUUUUUGCUGAAUCUGGGUUAUUUGACAGUAGAAUGUUCAUCAUUCCUUCCAAACAGAUAGAAGUUUGAUCAAUUAUAUUUCAGUGGCUUACAGCCAUGUGCUAUCUGCAGUGACAUUUAUGAUCUAUUUUUGUUAUCCCCAAAUGGCCUUCAACCUUAGCAGUUAUCUGCCAACAUGUUAAAGUUUUGGUCAGUGAAAAUCCUUUAGUGUCUUGGAAAGAUUCAUGAUGUUUUCUUUUGGCCAAAGUCCAUUAUGGGUAACUACAACUUUAUCUACAUUCAACGUAUGUAAUUGAGUGGCUGUGGUAUGGCACACUGUCAUUUGGCUUCAUUUCAAUCAACUAAGAUAACUCUCUGUAUUUUCUUUCCUAUAACACUGUGUCAUGUUGCUGCAAAAAGUGAAACAGCUGCCACAUUCUCCUUCUUGAGGAUGCAUCCCAGAAUGGGCUGUUUCUUCUGAGAGGACAACAUAGCCUCCAAUUUGGCAGGUAUGAGAUGAAAUGUUUAGAAAAUGUUUCAAAGGUGGUGAAAGAUGUUGCUCACUACCAACUGAGAUGAGAGAAUCUACUAUUUUGAUAGAAAAACCUUGGGCAAGUAGUCGGGCUGUUCAGUCUUCAUUCCUUGGAAGUCCUGGGAAUUUAAACCGACCCGCAAAAGAUGUAUGCUCUUAACUUUUGGACUUCCUUUUAGAUCAUGUAUCAUAAAAGGAAACACAACGCUGCAUUCCAGGCGUUUCUAUGGUGAGGCAAGAGACUGCAGCUGUAGACCUGAAGCAAAAGGGCAUGUGCAGAGGAAUCUGAAUAAAAGGGUUUAUAAGAACUCAAAAGAUAUCAUAUAUUCACGAGCCAUACCGACGUUUAUCCCAUUGAUGAAGUAUGACCCAAAAGAAAAAUUAAAUUUAUCUUCCUUCAUUUCAUCCCUCAAGAAAUAACAUAAGAAUCUGCAAAUAUAUUUUGCAAAAUAUCUAAGCUUGAAAACUGAAUCUUGGCAGAAAGUCAAAAAAACUGCCAUCAAUUCAGGAAACAUAUUUAGGAUGGCAAAGAGGAUUUUUUGGUAUCAGUUGCUUAAAGUGUUCUUGACGAACAGCCCACCAACAGAAGGCUCAGUCCAACAUCCUCAGCAUAAGAAAAUAUUUGUUGUUGACUUCCCUGCUGUUAUAAUUUCAUCCAUUGUCUCAAAACAACAUGA
Long non-coding RNA from Camarhynchus parvulus, 3010 nucleotides. RefSeq lists it as uncharacterized. NCBI's taxonomy places the organism in Eukaryota, Metazoa, Chordata, Aves, Passeriformes, Thraupidae. The record is from RefSeq and is a predicted model, not a curated record. The transcript has 6 exons.